UAGUCCACGCCGUAAACUAUGAUUACUCGUUAUUGGCGAUACACUGUCAGUGACUAAGCGAAAGUUUUAAGUAAUCCACCUGGGGAGUACGGUCGCAAGAUUGAAACUCAAAGGAAUUGACGGGGGCCCGCACAAGCGGUGGAGCAUGUGGUUUAAUUCGAUGAUACGCGAGGAACUUUACCAGGGCUUAAAUGCAAGAUGACGAACUUGGAAACAAGUUUUUCUUCGGACAGAUUGCAAGGUGCUGCAUGGCUGUCGUCAGCUCGUGCCGUGAAAUGUUGGGUUAAGUCUCGCAACGAGCGCAACCCCUAUCUUUAGUUGCCAGCAUUAAGUUGGGCACUCUAGAGAGACUGCCCGGGUUAACCGGGAGGAAGGUGGGGAUGACGUCAAGUCCUCAUGGCCCUUAUGCCUAGGGCUACACACGUAAUACAAUGGUUGAUACAAAGGGAAGCGAGCACGCGAGUGUUAGCAAAUCUCAAAAAGUCAAUCUCAGUCCGGAUUGGAGUCUGCAA
RNAcentral lists this ribosomal RNA (512 nucleotides) under uncultured bacterium. RNAcentral describes it as "bacterial SSU rRNA". It matches the Rfam family "Bacterial small subunit ribosomal RNA", at positions 791 to 1310 of the family's 1533-position model. The record is from RNAcentral.